RNAcentral lists this ribosomal RNA (253 nucleotides) under uncultured bacterium. RNAcentral's name for it is "partial 16S ribosomal RNA". It matches the Rfam family "Bacterial small subunit ribosomal RNA", at positions 524 to 776 of the family's 1533-position model. The record is from RNAcentral. RNAcentral also lists the same sequence under 2 other names.
UACGUAGGGGGCUAGCGUUGUCCGGAAUCAUUGGGCGUAAAGAGCGUGUAGGCGGCCCGGUAAGUCCGCUGUGAAAGUCGGGGGCUCAACCCUCGAAUGCCGGUGGAUACUGUCGGGCUAGAGUGCGGAAGAGGCGAGUGGAAUUCCUGGUGUAGCGGUGAAAUGCGCAGAUAUCAGGAGGAACACCAAUUGCGAAGGCAGCUCGCUGGGACGUAACUGACGCUGAGACGCGAAAGCGUGGGGAGCAAACAGG